RNAcentral lists this ribosomal RNA (500 nucleotides) under uncultured bacterium. RNAcentral describes it as "bacterial SSU rRNA". It matches the Rfam family "Bacterial small subunit ribosomal RNA", at positions 345 to 842 of the family's 1533-position model. The record is from RNAcentral.
GAGGCAGCAGUGAGGAAUAUUGGUCAAUGGCCGCAGGGCUGAACCAGCCAAGUCGCGUGAGGGAUGACGGUCCUAUGGAUUGUAAACCUCUUUUGUCAGGGAGCAAAGGGCGCCACGUGUGGCGUUUUGCGAGUACCUGAAGAAAAAGCAUCGGCUAACUCCGUGCCAGCAGCCGCGGUAAUACGGAGGAUGCGAGCGUUAUCCGGAUUUAUUGGGUUUAAAGGGUGCGCAGGCGGAAUGUCAAGUCAGCGGUAAAAUUUCGGGGCUCAACCCCGUCGUGCCGUUGAAACUGGCGUUCUUGAGUGAGCGAGAAGUAUGCGGAAUGCGUGGUGUAGCGGUGAAAUGCAUAGAUAUCACGCAGAACUCCGAUUGCGAAGGCAGCAUACCGGCGCUCAACUGACGCUCAUGCACGAAAGCGUGGGUAUCGAACAGGAUUAGAUACCCUGGUAGUCCACGCAGUAAACGAUGAAUACUAACUGUCCGGGCAGAAUGAUGCCUGG